CAUCUAUAUUCGUUCCCCUCCUUUCUUAUUGUUUCUACCAAUCUCUCUUGCCAAAAGCUGAGACAACCCGAGAGAGAAAAGUGGACUGAUGCUGGUGCUGUCCCAUGCGUGUCCAAGUGCUGCAUUGUUUUAGAAUUUCUGCUUUUGACCGAGUGGAAUGCUGCAGGUGCUGCUUUGGACGCAUCACUCAUCAUUCUCCCACUCACCCUCAUUAUUUAACUGAUCGCCAUUCCCUUCAAACCACGCAUCUCACUCUCUUGUAUGCUUUUAUUUCUUUAUUCUUUUCUCCUUCCCCUGUGCUCCUUCUUUCCUCUUCUCUUUAGGACUAAGUGUCAGUGACAGAAUGUGAGUCUGAAAGAGAGAUAAGAUAGAGACUCGAUUCUACCAUGAUCCACGGCACCGAACCCGUAGCCAGCCGUGACUUGUGCUCACUUGAUCCUCCCUUAGCCGAUUUCCAGCAGCAAACCGUCUAGCCCACUGACCCACCAAACAGAAGAAACCAGACCCAGCAAUCCGGCAUGAACCCAGCUCUACCCAUUAACCCGUGAACCCCGAAACCCAUGCCGCACCAUUCCAGCAACCUGUAGCUCAGCAAACUCAGAAGAAACCCGUGACCCAGCCGAGCUCGACUCGUGGACGUGUGCCGGAGAUGAUGAAUUGAGACAGCACAAAAGGACUAUGUUUGCGCAGGUACUGAAGAUUAUGGAAUGGAUUAACUGCUAGCUUAAGAGAUUUAAAGCUGUGUAGUUAGGAUUUUAGUACUUUGUACUCAUAGAUGUUUGUACUAUUUGCUUGUAAUAUGUCUAGACAUUUACUUGUAAUUAAUAAGUUCCAUGCAUGCUUUAGUGUCACAUGUGACAUAUGUUUCUUUGUAAAUAGUGUAAAGACUUUUAACGUAUUUUCUAGAAGAUGUCAGUUAAAGCUCUGAAUGUAUCGUAAGGGAAUUGU
Molecule: long non-coding RNA, 948 nt
Organism: Alnus glutinosa
Lineage: Eukaryota; Viridiplantae; Streptophyta; Magnoliopsida; Fagales; Betulaceae
Exons: 3
Source: RefSeq, a predicted model, not a curated record